GAGGAUUUAGCUCAGUGGCGUUAGCGCCUGCCUGGAAAGCAUGAGGUUGAAAGUUCAAUCCCCA
Molecule: transfer RNA, 64 nt
Filed under: Cavia porcellus (domestic guinea pig)
Lineage: Eukaryota; Metazoa; Chordata; Mammalia; Rodentia; Caviidae
Rfam family: tRNA
About the family: Transfer RNA (tRNA) molecules are approximately 80 nucleotides in length. Their secondary structure includes four short double-helical elements and three loops (D, anti-codon, and T loops).
Source: Rfam by way of RNAcentral